RNAcentral lists this long non-coding RNA (1389 nucleotides) under Durio zibethinus. RNAcentral describes it as "long non-coding RNA (DZIB_LNC000454)". The record is from RNAcentral. Lineage: Eukaryota; Viridiplantae; Streptophyta; Magnoliopsida; Malvales; Malvaceae.
AAUAAGACUAGUAAUUCACUGUAAAAAAAAUAGAGACAAUAAUUAUACAGAAAAAUAAAAGCAAAACCCAAAAGAAUUAGAGUGAAAAAAUACAGAGAAAACAAUCAACCAAAAAUUGUUUUCCCUUGUCUCCAUUAACUGCAGACCUCCCAUCCCACAACCAUCACCAUAAUCGCCAAUUCGACCCAUCAUUCUCUUAACCAUUACCUAAUCCACCAGUGUCUAGGCACCGAUCUUUAUUGCAUUCCAACACUGUCAUUCCUAAACCCAACAUUAAUUGAAAAGCCAAGAUACCAUAUAUACAAGCAACAACUUCUUUGAAACCAUCACACAGAAUGCCAUACCACCAUAAAAUUUCCAUAAACCAGUCAACCACUGCCUACGCCAAAGCCACGAACCUCUCUCAUCACUACCUCCAUCAUUGCCAACAACCUACAAUACAUACCCCAAAGCCAGUUUCAAGCAUAACUCUAAGCAUAAAACCAGUCAAAUUCUUUACCUCAAGUUAAAUCUCAAUUCCAAACACAAUCCCAAUUAACCCAAAUACAGAUUCCAACCUUAAUUUUUCAUUAACCAAAUUCGCGUAGCUUAGACUUUACUGAACCCAAACCCAGUAACAAACUCAACCAAACCUAUAGCACACAGCAUAAUAGCCACAUAGAAAAUCAUCUUACAUAGAAAUACAAGAGUAGAAAAUUCUAACAAAAACCACCAUUCACCAUCGCAAUCAAAACCAGUUAGGUUGCCUUAAACCAACUCUACCACCACUUCCAAUAGUUGGAUCUUGCUUCUUUUCACCACUAUCACUAUUAGCUCACUAUCAAUAAGCCCUACCAACAAGAAGAAAUAAAUUGAAGUCAGAAACUAAAGAAAAUUAGAAACAAAAAUGAGAUGAACAAAGGUAAAAAAUAAGAGAUUUUUUUUUUUGUUUCGGUUUGACACAUUUUAGGAUAAUUUGAGUCCUGAAAAUCGAUGAAAAAAUCAAUGAAAAGAGAGUUAAGAACUAGGAGAAUACCAUACCUUGAAGCCACAACUGUUGGAGCAGUGAUAAUGUAGGUUCUGGGAAGGGAAAACAGUGACAUUAAUUCCAAAUCCAUGCAAAUCUAGUGAGUUUUUGGAGAAUCUGAGUCUGGAUCUGAGACAAGAAGAUCAAGAUGAGCCACUGGGUGAAAUUUAGGCCUUAAAAGUAGUUGACCUACAAUGAAAAGCAGUGGCAACGAUACUGGGAUAUAGAAAUCCUUGAAGUUUUUAGCCUAAGUUCAUCCUAUAUAGAUAGAGAAGAGGGAAGUCCACUUUCAGAAAGAGAAACAAAACUGAAAAAUAGAAGAAAAAGCUUGGAAAAGGCUUUUCAUAUUGUAAAGGAAAUGGCAUAGUUUUAGGAAAGAAAAC